CACUCACUUACAGCCUCGAGAUUUGAAGUCUUCUCCUAUUUUACACGACAUGCGCGCCUGGCUGGAGGAGAGGGUUUGAUACGCAUGCGUGAGUUACUCCCACCCACAACACAACGUGCAUGAUCUUGUUAUAGCCAUUUGGGUCCUGUCUAAGAAGGCUCCCCCUUCAAUUAUUUUGUUUUUAUUUGACUGAAAACAAAUCCGAGCAGCUCCUAGAAUGGCUUGCAGACAUUUAAUGCAAAUCAAUGGAGUGAAAAAAAAAAACAGAAGUAUGAAAGAGAAGGGGGUUCCUCGUUUGUCAUGUCUUACAUAAGAUGUUUAGAGAAGCCCACUCAUGACAUUUCCUUUUAAAAAAAA
Long non-coding RNA from Poecilia latipinna (sailfin molly), 357 nucleotides. RefSeq lists it as uncharacterized. NCBI's taxonomy places the organism in Eukaryota, Metazoa, Chordata, Actinopteri, Cyprinodontiformes, Poeciliidae. The transcript has 2 exons. The record is from RefSeq and is a predicted model, not a curated record.